Corvus hawaiiensis (hawaiian crow) is the source of this 1839-nucleotide long non-coding RNA. RefSeq lists it as uncharacterized. The transcript is spliced from 5 exons. Lineage: Eukaryota; Metazoa; Chordata; Aves; Passeriformes; Corvidae. The record is from RefSeq and is a predicted model, not a curated record.
AAGAGCUGGCAGUGUUAUUUGCUAUGUCUUUGGGGAAGACAAAGGUUUGAUUUAAUAAACACAGUGUACUGAAUGAUUCAAUGCAGAACUGAAACAGCAAGCACAGUGGACCCAGCCUAUCUGGACACCUACCUACCUUGAUGUAAACCAAUUUUAAACACCUGUCAUCCACAGAUCCUUCUGCGCAGGGCUGCAAAGAGCAAGACUGUGCUCCUUCCUGUGGCAAUGAUUCUUCUGGUGCAUGUGAAUAAACCUGACUCUACAGAUAAGUAUCAACUGCAGAGAGUUCUAAACAGAAAAAGAGACUUCUUUCCUCCUAAUAAAUUUAGAGACUUCUUCUGACCUCAGUCAGCAAAACCUUCUCAGAUGUAAAAGGGAUUUUCAAGUUGAUGAAUUUGCUGUGUGAUUUUCUGGAAACAUGGUAAGUCCUCUUCUCCAGCGCUGGGCCACCUGAUGGGAAGAGGACAUCACCUGCUUACCAGCCUCGCAGUAGUGUGGAUAUCACGCCAGCCUCAUCAUGCCAGCUUCCACUGAGCCAUCACUUGUUAUUUCUCCUAUGACAGGUAUGACUACAAUAAAAGAAUUUAAAAGCUACAGAAGUCUCAAAAGGAAUUAAUAUGUUUUCUUGAUCAAACUAUGGAGUCUCAAAGCAAGAAGGAAGCCAAGACAAACAGGAAUAUAUUGCAUUAAUCAAGACGUGGGCAGACAGGUGUUGCAGAUCUGCAGGUUACUCAGCAAGGUGGUGGGACCUCCAUCCAGUGAAAUUUAAGACAUUUAGACAAAGCUGUCUCACACAACUGGGAAGAGUGUAUCUCCAAGCUGGACUGGGUAACUUCCUAAGGUUCCUCCAAAACAACACGUAGUGACCAAUGGAGGAUGCCCAUGAAGACCUAUCAAUACAGGUCAUGCAAAAUGCUGCCAUCCUUGUGCACACAUCCAGAUGUGUGAUUGAUUUGGGAUUCAGAAACUUCCAGAGCAAAAGCUGGUAGCUUUGUAAAGAGAAGGACAUCCCCACAACAAAUGUUAAAGACUUCUGCAUGGAAUAUAUUACAAAGAAGUCAGUAAGAAACAGAAACUUUAUUAUUCCUGAAAUAAAUCCAGCACAUUAAAUUAGGAAACUUAUGCAACUAAUUAUAUCCUACCAGUAUAAACAGUAUCAAAGAGGAGUAUUUUAUUUCUGAACAUCUCAUGCCAUCUCAUUUUCAGAAUGUCAGUUAAGAACAAAAAUAAUACAAAGUCCUUAUGAUAACUGAAGAUGAAACCCAGAAUUAAAUUUACAACAAAUCUGGAAUUCCCCUUUGAUCAUUCUAAGGCAAUGGCUAUACAUUUUUAUCACACCAAACAAGCCAUAAUAAACUGCAACAUCAAAACCAGAAAGAAAUCCUAUGACUUCCCAAGACAAUGCUUUUGAACAGUCACAAUAUCACAGCCUUUUAAUGCAAGCACACGUGUUAAAUAUGCACAUGGCUCCAUGUGUAGGUGAUGUGGUGUGACAUAAAUAUUUUACUAGCAGUUUAAGUUACUGACUCAUUACACACAAAUGGUAUGAAUGUUCUUUUCUGAUUUUAUAAGUGUUCAUAUUUUGGCGCCCCUGAAUGAUUAAGAACAGGAAACCGUGGUAUCUGAAAAGAAGGUUUUCAAAAACUUGUAGGAAAGAUCUUGAAUUUUAAUAAGGCUUUCCAAGUAAAGAACUACUGAGGUGCACAAAAAAGGAGUCAAGACACACAUAAUUUAUGGCUUUGCUCCCCAGCACAACUUUACUGAAAUCAAAGGCCUUUGCUCAAGAGUAACUUCUUCCCCUAGUUGCAGAAGUUUGCAGAAUAGCAGUCUUUUCUAGAA